GGUGACACUCCUGGCAUCAUUGUAACCACCCAGGCGGCAGCCCCUCCAGAGAGACGCCUCCUCGUCCUCCCCAGGUCAUGCUCCCUACGCUGCAUCUCCCCUGGGACUCACCCUACCCAGCCUGAACUCAGCCUCCCCCGCACGUGCUCCACCGUCAGGUGCACAUCCUGGCAAAUGGCAUCACCAUCCACACUCAGCCACUCAAGCUAAAAACCUGGAAGCCAACAAGAUCUCCUCCCACCCUUGCCCCUCACCCCAUCCAUCACGGGGCGCUGGAGGUGCUCCCCCUACAGAUGCUGAAGUCACUGGCCCAGCUCCCUCUCAGCCUGGGCAGAGUACCGCAGCCUGGCAAGGAGGGCUGUCUCUGGCAAGGGUGGGCCCGGGCCAUUCUAGUCACCCGUGCAGACCCUGUCCACCACCAUGGGUGCCUCCAACUUCAUAGCCCAGGGUUGGGUCCUGAGCUCUGCAAAUCCGCCUCUUCUUCCAGGCCCGCCAAAUGCUGUGCCCCUCCUGGGGGGCCUCCCAUGACUUGUCCUCUGACAGCCAGCAGGAGGCUGUGGACAGACUCCCAGGACCAACGCCCUGCAGGGAUCAGGGAACCAAGUCCCUUCCCUUUCUGGGCCUCCGUCUCCCCAUCUUACGAUGGGCACAAACCCAUGCAGGGCUAAUCUCUCAGGUUAUCUUGGCUGAGCCAAGGGAUGUGAAUGGCAUUGCUCUGAAUGGUGUGUACACAUGGAUGGCUGGGGUGAGGGAAGCACGGGGUAGGACGCUGCAAGUGUUGACGUGGACCAGCCAGAGGGCAGCAUCUGUAGCCCUGCAAGGGCCAGAGUGACCGGGCUAACCCAGUCCUCACAAGAUGCUCUCCCCUGCCCUCGGGGUCCUCGGUGGGGCUCUCCCCUGCUGUCUUCAGCAGGAAGGCUCUGGCCCAGGCAUCCCCUGCCUCGAGGGGACACACUGUGCAGCAGGCAGGUGUCUUCCCCUGUCUGAAUCACAAGAUGAGUGGGAUUGAUGGAUCUCUGGGAUCCCAGAGUUUUCACUGGCUUUCCGGGGGUGCUGGAGGCUUCCUGGGGGUGGGGGUGGCAGAAGAGAGACCCAGCCACAUCCCCAAACUGGAACAUUGACCAAGCUUUCCCAUCCUCUUGCCUCCAAGACACUCCAGGCCAGAGUGGCACAGGUCCUGGGGGGCUGGGAGGAGAAGGGCAGUCUCUGGCCAGCUCACCACACUUGGGUGCUUGCACAGGGCUCGAAGCACAGGGGGUGCUCAGGACACAGAACCUGUGUAGCUGAGGUUGGGGGGGCGAUCAAUAGACUUUUGAUGUUAUGUGAUUCUCUCACGUAUGCCUCAGUUUCUCCACCUGCCGAAUGGAGCUGCCUGCCUGGCUCCCUAUUCAGGUCGAAUGGCACCGCUCGCUCUGCUCUAUGUGCGUGUGUGUGUGUGUGUGUGUGUGCACGCGCAUGUAGGAGAGUGGGGAAGGAAGGAGAGAAACCGAAUCCCAGGUGAGCCCACCUGGCACCACCCAUACCAGCCUUUGACAGGGCAAGAUGGAGGAGAAAAAAUCUGCUGCUGUCCGCCCACUUCCUGGUCCCCCCACCUCCAUAUGAAGGAAGGGUGACUGAAGGACUCUCCCUGGAUGUUCCUGUCCAUCACUUGGCGAGCAGUGUGGCUGCUGGAGAAAUUCACUUGCACGUGUGACUCACGUGAGAUUUUACUGGGUAGCUCUGCUCCAGAACUUGGAAAGGCCAUCUCCAGGCCUCUUCCUGGUGGCUCCCAGGAAAAGCAGCCUUUGGAAUUUCCACUGAAUUCCACUCAACCUCAGCCACUGAAGAAUGUCUGCCUCCCAGACGGCCCCUGGGUUCCAGCACUCACUCGGGGUGGCCUCGCUCCGUCUUCUUCCCAAUUCCCCAUGCGUCAGGCAGCCUCCCAGAAUGCUUAGACCCAGCCAAGGGACCUGUGCCUCCAGGACGAGCUUGACCAACAAGGCCGGCAGCCCCCUGCUCCAAACGCCAGCUUCCCAGCUGGCUAGAACCUCAAAGCCUUGUGGGAACUUCCCCGGCGUCACUUUCUCCCUCCCCGCAGACCCCAGGGAUGUGGCUUCCUUGCCCCAGGACCUGAGUCAGCUCCAAGGAAUCCCCUCUCCUCUCGAGGGGGUUCCGAGGGUGAGAGGCAGGGCUGUGUGGUGCUCAAGAGCAUGGCUUAGGAGCCAGAGAGAUCCGAUGGGAACCCAUGCUCUGCCGCGCACCAGCUGGGUGGCUGGGGCACAUCCCCCCUUCUCUCCACCUCGGUGUUCCCAUUUACGACAUGGGCGUAAUCGUUGUACCUGCCUCAUGGAGUCACUGGGGAUUAAAUGACAUCUUCAACGCACGGCCCCCAGCACAGCGCCUGGUUUAGAGUCAGUGGUAGUUGUUAAAGGACAGGAAAGAGUUAGGGAUGUGGCUUUUGGCCACAGCCUCACUCAGUCAGCCACGGAGAGGAG
Long non-coding RNA from Equus caballus (horse), 2474 nucleotides. The record is from Ensembl. Lineage: Eukaryota; Metazoa; Chordata; Mammalia; Perissodactyla; Equidae.